Molecule: ribosomal RNA, 710 nt
Filed under: uncultured bacterium
Lineage: Bacteria
Description: bacterial SSU rRNA
Rfam family: Bacterial small subunit ribosomal RNA
Source: RNAcentral
GGUGAGUAACACGUAGGCAACCUGCCUGUAAGACUGGGAUAACUCGCGGAAACGCGAGCUAAUACCGGAUAAUACUUAUCAUCUCCUGAUGGUAAGUUGAAAGGCGGCUUUUGCUGUCACUUACAGAUGGGCCUGCGGCGCAUUAGCUAGUUGGUGGGGUAACGGCUCACCAAGGCGACGAUGCGUAGCCGACCUGAGAGGGUGAUCGGCCACACUGGGACUGAGACACGGCCCAGACUCCUACGGGAGGCAGCAGUAGGGAAUCUUCCGCAAUGGACGAAAGUCUGACGGAGCAACGCCGCGUGAGUGAUGAAGGUUUUCGGAUCGUAAAACUCUGUUGUCGGGGAAGAACAAGUAUGAUAGUAACUGAUCGUACCUUGACGGUACCCGACCAGAAAGCCACGGCUAACUACGUGCCAGCAGCCGCGGUAAUACGUAGGUGGCAAGCGUUGUCCGGAAUUAUUAGGCGUAAAGCGCUCGCAGGCGGNUCUUUAAGUCUGAUGUGAAAUCUUGCGGCUCANCCGUAAACGUGCAUUGGAAACUGGAGGACUUGAGUGCAGAAGAGGAGAGUGGAAUUCCACGUGUAGCGGUGAAAUGCGUAGAGAUGUGGAGGAACACNAGUGGCGAANGCGACUCUCUGGUCUGUAACUGACGCUGAGGAGCGAANGCGUGGGGAGCGAACAGGAUUAGAUACCCUGNNAGUCCACGCC